UGAGCUGAAAUAUGAGUUGUCCAACUCUUGUAAGUGCAUGCUCCAUCACAUCAUCCUGAGUGAGUAAUGAGGAUGCCAUUGUACCCUUCAAGCAGCCCUGGAGAGUUUAUCUCUGCAUGCUGGAGCUAAUAAUAAUAGAAUCUCAAGAGUCUUCAAACAUCCAUAUUAUGCUGAUGUCUUUUAAGGUGAUUCAACUCAGCAUAUGUUGUUUGAAGCCGUGAGACUGAGUGAGAUCAUGGAGGAAGUGAAUGUAAAUAGAAAAGGGAAGAAGUCUAAAGACGGAGCCCUGAGACACUCCAUUGUAAACUGGAAGAUGAGGAAGAGCCAGCAAAGGAGGCUGAGAAGGGGCAGCCAGUGAAGAUGGAGCCAGGGCUAGAGUAAGAGCCCCUUCUGGGAUGCUGUGACCCCCAAGUUUGAAGACCACUGCUAAUCCCAAUCUACGAAGACUAGCUAUAGAACUUCCUACACUGAGACAACUCCAGUGGAACUCUGUUAAUUAUCCUAAAAUAAGGAGGCUUCUUCAGUAGCCCUUGAAAUAUGUUCAAAUACGUGAUUACAUUUAUGUCCUUA
This 570-nucleotide long non-coding RNA is filed under the name Pan troglodytes (chimpanzee). RNAcentral's name for it is "lincRNA". The record is from RNAcentral. Lineage: Eukaryota; Metazoa; Chordata; Mammalia; Primates; Hominidae.